GUCUGUCGUCAUACCACACUGAAUGCACCCCAUGUCUGAUCUCAGAAGUUAAGCAGGGUCUGGCCUAGUAAGUGCUUGGAAGGGAGAAAAUAUGUGGAAGGGAAACUCCCAGAAUACAAUACUGCGGAGC
Molecule: ribosomal RNA, 130 nt
Filed under: Peromyscus maniculatus bairdii (prairie deer mouse)
Lineage: Eukaryota; Metazoa; Chordata; Mammalia; Rodentia; Cricetidae
Source: RNAcentral